Molecule: ribosomal RNA, 281 nt
Filed under: uncultured bacterium
Lineage: Bacteria
Description: partial 16S ribosomal RNA
Rfam family: Bacterial small subunit ribosomal RNA
Source: RNAcentral
CGCACCUACGGGGGGCAGCAGUGGGGGAUAUUGCACAAUGGGGGGAACCCUGAUGCAGCGACGCCGCGUGGGUGAAGGAGUGCUUCGGCAUGUAAAGCCCUAUCGGCAGGGAAGAAGCAAGACGGUACCUGACUAAGAAGCCCCGGCUAACUACGUGCCAGCAGCCGCGGUAAUACGGAGGAUGCGAGCGUUAUCCGGAUUUAUUGGGUUUAAAGGGUGCGCAGGCGGCACGGCAAGCCGGCGGUCAAAUCGCGGGGCUCAACCCCGCCCAGCCGUCGGAA